This 258-nucleotide ribosomal RNA is filed under the name uncultured bacterium. Its description in RNAcentral is "partial 16S ribosomal RNA". It matches the Rfam family "Bacterial small subunit ribosomal RNA", at positions 96 to 354 of the family's 1533-position model. The record is from RNAcentral.
UGGCGGACGGGUGAGUAACGCGUGGGUAACCUGCCUCACACAGGGGGAUAACAGUUGGAAACGACCGCUAAUACCGCAUAAGCCAACAGGGGCGCAUGCUCUGGUUGGAAAAGAUUUAUCGGUGUGAGAUGGACCCGCGUCUGAUUAGCCAGUUGGCAGGGUAACGGCCUACCAAAGCGACGAUCAGUAGCCGGCCUGAGAGGGUGAACGGCCACAUUGGGACUGAGACACGGCCCAAACUCCUACGGAAGGCAGCAG